CACCAAACAGCUAGCCUCC
Molecule: ribosomal RNA, 19 nt
Filed under: Neoheterandria tridentiger
Lineage: Eukaryota; Metazoa; Chordata; Actinopteri; Cyprinodontiformes; Poeciliidae
Description: partial 16S ribosomal RNA
Source: RNAcentral